RNAcentral lists this ribosomal RNA (400 nucleotides) under uncultured bacterium. RNAcentral describes it as "partial 16S ribosomal RNA". It matches the Rfam family "Bacterial small subunit ribosomal RNA", at positions 338 to 735 of the family's 1533-position model. The record is from RNAcentral.
CCUACGGGUGACUGCAGUGAGGAAUAUUGGUCAAUGGUCGGGAGACUGAACCAGCCAUGCCGCGUGCAGGAGGACGGCUCAAUGAGUCGUAAACUGCUUUUGUACGAGGACAAACACUGAUACGUGUAUCCGGCUGAGAGUACUUUACGAAAAAGGAUCGGCUAACUCCGUGCCAGCAGCCGCGGUAAUACGGAGGAUCCGAGCGUUAUCCGGAUUUAUUGGGUUUAAAGGGUGCGCAGGCGGGUUGUUAAGUUAGAGGUGAAAUGUCCGGGCUUAACUCGGGAACUGCCUUUAAUACUGGCAAUCUAGAGAGUGAGUGCGGUAGGCGGAAUGUAUGGUGUAGCGGUGAAAUGCUUAGAGAUCGUACAGAACACCGAUUGCGAAGGCAGCUUACCAAUCU